RNAcentral lists this ribosomal RNA (510 nucleotides) under uncultured bacterium. Its description in RNAcentral is "partial 16S ribosomal RNA". It matches the Rfam family "Bacterial small subunit ribosomal RNA", at positions 28 to 507 of the family's 1533-position model. The record is from RNAcentral.
GACGAACGCUGGCGGCGUGCUUAACACAUGCAAGUCGAACGAAGAGCGAUGGAAGCUUGCUUCUAUCACUCUUAGUGGCGAACGGGUGAGUAACGCGUAAUCAACCUGCCCUUCAGAGGGGGACAACAGUUGGAAACGACUGCUAAUACCGCAUACGAUCUAAUCUCGGCAUCGAGGAUAGAUGAAAGGUGGCCUCUACAUUUAAGCUAUCACUGAAGGAGGGGAUUGCGUCUGAUUAGCUAGUUGGAGGGGUAACGGCCCACCAAGGCGAUGAUCAGUAGCCGGUCUGAGAGGAUGAACGGCCACAUUGGGACUGAGACACGGCCCAGACUCCUACGGGAGGCAGCAGUGGGGAAUCUUCCGCAAUGGACGAAAGUCUGACGGAGCAACGCCGCGUGAGUGAUGACGGCCUUCGGGUUGUAAAGCUCUGUUAAUCGGGACGAAAGGCCUUCUUGCGAAUAGUGAGAAGGAUUGACGGUACCGGAAUAGAAAGCCACGGCUAACUACGUG